AUCUGUUUAGCUCAGUUGGUAGAGCGCUCCACUUCUAACGGAGAGGUCCCGGGUUCGAUACCUGGACCAGGCG
RNAcentral lists this transfer RNA (73 nucleotides) under Ixodes scapularis (black-legged tick). It matches the Rfam family "tRNA". Rfam says of the family: Transfer RNA (tRNA) molecules are approximately 80 nucleotides in length. Their secondary structure includes four short double-helical elements and three loops (D, anti-codon, and T loops). The record is from Rfam by way of RNAcentral. Lineage: Eukaryota; Metazoa; Arthropoda; Arachnida; Ixodida; Ixodidae.